AUUUGUAACAAGUUCCUCAUCCUCUGUCAAUAUAUUUUGCCAGCAUUUAACGAAAAAGAAGGAAUAAUUAAAUAUUCCAUGUUAUCAUUACAAAUGAAUUAGUCCAAACCCAAAACGAAAUAAGGAAAGAAGGAAAGAGAGAACAAUUAAUUUCUGCAACCAGGUACAUACCAAUUCCAAAUACAUUACGAGAUGCAGCAAGUAAAUAACAACUGAUGACCGUUUUAACAAAUGGAAGAAUUUUUCCAUUUUCCUUUAUGGCAAACCACAAGUAUUUAAUUCCUUUGUAUGCAACUAUAAAGCCAGAGACCUUAACUUUGUAGCAGGUUUUGGAAAAACACAUCACACCAGAGGCAAAAGGGCAUUAAGACUUCAUGAAGAAAUGAAAGAAAUAAAUUUUGAAGAGGAAAGAUAAUGCGUCAAGGUCAACUUCCAGUUCUAUAAUCUACAGAAGGCACUCUUCCCAUUCACUGUUAUCUUGGCCUUAGCAUAUACGCCAAAGGAUUUUCCAUGAGGCUUCUCCUCAGACAGCUUGUCAGGCAUAACCAUUCCAAAUCCACACAAGGAGAAUUAGAUAUGUUGUAGGCCAGUGUACAACAAUUUAAGCCUCUAUGAAUAUGGAUCCUAUGAAAAUGAUGCUACACAAAGCUAAAUGGAGGGAAAGGAUCCAUAAAGCCAAUCUCAACCAGCUUGGAAAUCCAAAAUUGAGUCCAACAAGAGUAAAUGACAUCAAAUAAAAUAAUCAUAUCCCAUCCACUAAAGAUCAACUGCACAUUAAAAUAGUAAUUCUCUUUUGCAAACUUCUUACCAGUAAUAUGAUCUUCUAUGCACU
RNAcentral lists this unclassified non-coding RNA (832 nucleotides) under Hevea brasiliensis (rubber tree). Lineage: Eukaryota; Viridiplantae; Streptophyta; Magnoliopsida; Malpighiales; Euphorbiaceae. The record is from RNAcentral.